AGAUGAGAAGGGUCUCACCAUCGAUGGUAGCAAGAACAUCGUUGGGGAAGUACAUUAGAUUAGGGUGAAGCAGCUAGGCUUUUGCCUAGUCCCCGUAGCUGUAAGAGUAUGAUGAUCAGAUGGUGUUAGCCAUGCUGACUAUUUAAUUAACAUUAUCAGUUUGAACACAAAUCAAGAGAGUUCCGCUCAUGUUUUAAUCUUAGUACUGCAUACAUGAAGCAUGAUUUUUCCUCGUGCAAUUUAAUCUAUGGAGCGUUCUGCUUCUAUUGUUUCUUUCGGGGCAUGGUUUAAAGAAAUUCACACAAUUUUUCUUUAACCACUUUUUUUGGUCCUCGAAGAAAACUCCAUGUACGAAGCUUGUGCCCCGAACAAUAUGUGCAUCACUGAUGGUAUAACACCCAGCGGGGAAUCUUCGCGACUGAUUGUUUAUUCUUCACAGUUUCAAUAGGUUGUUUUAUAAUCUUAUAAUGGCAAUACCUAUAUUACAAGGGGGAUCCAUCUUUUAAAAGUCAAACUAAUAAAAUAUUAUUUCUAGAGAAUAUGGAUUUCCACCUGCACUUGGGUUGGGCCUUAAAAAAAAUAAUAUAUAUAUUUAUAAAUCUCUCCCUUGCCGCUGACGCACGCAACGCUGAAUUCCAAUUUCAAAAUCCAUAAACCGUCUGGCCUUCGAUAAUCCCCCUCUUCUCAUCUUCUUUCACAAUGACAGGCCCUCGUAGCACAGCCAGACGGGUUUUAGAUUCGGUUCGGGUUCAAUCCGAACCGAAAUAAAAACUUAUUGGGUUGCAAUUUUCAACCCAUUCGGAUUUUAUGUGUUAAUCCAAACCGAACUAAAUCCAAAAUAAAUUUCAGGUUCGAUUCGGGUAAACUUGAUCCGAACGCCCACCCCUAGUAACUGAAGUGCGUUUUUUUAUUUUUUAUUUUUAAAAAUUCUAUUUUCAGCUCAUAAUAGUAGUAAAAUAAAAGAAAUUUACGACUGAUUUGUUAUUUUUUACUGCCAAAAUAUAAAAGGACAGUAAAUACCCAUUUUAACCUUGCAGCUGAUUUAAUUCCCUACAAAGUAGCAGUAAAGUUUUACUCAUUUGCCAGGAGAUAUUUUUCAGCCACAAACAUUCCCCACAAAAGGCCCUUUUUUCGUAGUGAGGGGUAGGAAAAUUAGAUUUCGGUUUGGGUUGUUUGGGUUUUGAUUUGGGUUACAAUCCGAUUCGGUUGGAAAAUUGAAUCCAAUUAGAUUUUCAUUUUGAUAUCUCGAUCUGCAUCCAGAUCCAUAAAAUUUUUUGAAGAUUCAGACAUGGGUAAAAUCCACACCGGAUGCAGGCAGAUAUCUCGGAUAUCCGGAUCCGCAAAUCUUAAAAUUAAAUAAUUUUAAAUAUAAUUUAAAAAUUCAACAAUUUAAUUAAUAGUAUCAAAUAAAAUUCAAUUACAAUCCAACAAUUAACAAUUUAACAUAAAUAACAUAUAACAUCAACAUAAAUCCACAAAUAAAAAUAUUACAACAUAAAUCAAACAUAAAAAAUAACUAAAUUCAAGUGCAUAACUAUUAAAAUCCACAAAUAAAAAACAUCACUAAAUUCAAGUACACAACUAUUAAAAUCCACAAGUAACAUUAAAUACAAUCAAACAAUUAACCACAAUACCAAAUUAGUAAUCAGAAAAAAAAUUUCAAGUUUAAAAAAAUUUACAUUAGAUUAAACUCAUUAAAUACAAUCAAACAAUUAACCACAAUACCAAAUUGUUAACCCCCAAAAAAAAAGCCAUGCAUUUAAUAGAAAGAAUAAAAAAUUAAUUGAAAUAAGGGAGCAAAAUCUAAUUACCGGCAAAUUAAUUCCAAGCACGAGAGGCUUGAACGCAACGACAAGGGUUGACGGUUAAAGGACAGGUGGACAGCGUCACAGCGAGGCUUCGACGAGCACCGCGACGCUUCUUCGACGAGUAUCGGCACCGCGAGGCUUGGACGACGAGGCUUUAACAAAAGAUCAGGCGAGGCGGGCUUCGACGCGAGUCUCCAACGAGUUGCGACGAAGACAACGACUGGUCGAGAGCGAGAUUGAAAGGUUAGGACUUACAGCAACUGGUGAGGUGAGUGUGUAUGGGAAAAUUGAAUGAAGGGAGUGAGACUUAGGGAUUUAUGGCUUAGAUUUUUUUUAUUUAAGUUAAUAUAUAUUUUAAUUUAAAAUAAAGACCGACCGGAUCCGGAUAUCUGAUUUUCCGGAUACAAGUGCAUCUGGAUCCGGAUCCGUGCGGGUUUUUAUUUUUUAAAUCCGGAUCCGCAUUUUUAAAAAAUGUAGAUCCAAAUUUUUCGGAUCCUUGCGGAUACGGGUCGGAUGGGAAUUUUUUUGCCAUCCCUAGCCUUACAAAUUGAUGAUAUUCAAUGUAUUUUCUAAAAUUGUAGCUAUACUGUAAUGUGUAUUUUGGUUGAAUGAAAUUUUACAAUUUUUUUCUUUUAAC
Molecule: long non-coding RNA, 2445 nt
Filed under: Citrus sinensis (sweet orange)
Lineage: Eukaryota; Viridiplantae; Streptophyta; Magnoliopsida; Sapindales; Rutaceae
Description: long non-coding RNA (CSIN_LNC001442)
Source: RNAcentral